GAUAAACGCUGGCGGCGCACAUAAGACAUGCAAGUCGAACGGAAGUCGUUGUAAUGAAAUAGAAACGGACAGAGAACUUGUUCGAAGAAAGUGGAAGUAGACUUACAACAAUGGCUUUAGUGGCGGACUGGUGAGUAACGCGUAAGGAACCUGCCUUCUAGAGGGGAAUAACAAUGAGAAAUCAUUGCUAAUACCGCAUAUGCCGAGAGGAUCACAUGGUACAAUCGGGAAAAGAGUAAUCUGCUAGAAGAUGGCCUUGCGUCUGAUUAGAUAGUUGGUGGGGUAACGGCCUACCAAGUCGACGAUCAGUAGCCGGACUGAGAGGUUGAACGGCCACAUUGGGACUGAGAUACGGCCCAGACUCCUACGGGAGGCAGCAGUCGGGAAUAUUGCGCAAUGGAGGAAACUCUGACGCAGUGACGCCGCGUAUAGGAAGAAGGUUUUCGGAUUGUAAACUAUUGUCGUUAGGGAAGAGAAAGGACAGGUACCUAAGGAGGAAGACU
RNAcentral lists this ribosomal RNA (503 nucleotides) under uncultured bacterium. RNAcentral's name for it is "bacterial SSU rRNA". It matches the Rfam family "Bacterial small subunit ribosomal RNA", at positions 28 to 493 of the family's 1533-position model. The record is from RNAcentral.